CCUACGGGCGGCUUCAGUGGGGAAUAUUGGACAAUGGGGGCAACCCUGAUCCAGCCAUGCCGCGUGUGUGAAGAAGGCCCUCGGGUUGUAAAGCACUUUCAGUGAGGAAGAACGCCUGGUGGUUAAUACCCAUCAGGAAAGACAUCACUCACAGAAGAAGCACCGGCUAACUCCGUGCCAGCAGCCGCGGUAAUACGGAGGGUGCGAGCGUUAAUCGGAAUUACUGGGCGUAAAGCGCGCGUAGGUGGCUUGAUAAGCCGGUUGUGAAAGCCCCGGGCUCAACCUGGGAACGGCAUCCGGAACUGUCAAGCUAGAGUGCAGGAGAGGAAGGUAGAAUUCCCGGUGUAGCGGUGAAAUGCGUAGAGAUCGGGAGGAAUACCAGUGGCGAAGGCGGCCUUCUGGACUGACACUGACACUGAGGUGCGAAAGCGUGGGUAGCAAACAGGAUUAGAUACCCGAGUAGUC
This 465-nucleotide ribosomal RNA is filed under the name Vreelandella stevensii. Its description in RNAcentral is "partial 16S ribosomal RNA". It matches the Rfam family "Bacterial small subunit ribosomal RNA", at positions 338 to 795 of the family's 1533-position model. The record is from RNAcentral. Lineage: Bacteria; Pseudomonadati; Pseudomonadota; Gammaproteobacteria; Oceanospirillales; Halomonadaceae.